CCUACGGGGGGCUGCAGCAAGGAAUUUUCCGCAAUGGGGGAAACCCUGACGGAGCAACGCCGCGUGCGGGAUGACGCUUUUCGGAGUGUAAACCGCUGUUCGGGGGGACGAAGCACUGACGGUACCCCCGGAGGAAGGCCCGGCUAACUACGUGCCAGCAGCCGCGGUAAUACGUAGGGGCCAAGCGUUGUCCGGAGUUACUGGGCGUAAAGCGUGCGCAGGCGGCUCGUUGCGCCCGACGUGAAAGCCCCCGGCCCAACCGGGGAGGGUCGUCG
This 275-nucleotide ribosomal RNA is filed under the name uncultured bacterium. RNAcentral describes it as "partial 16S ribosomal RNA". It matches the Rfam family "Bacterial small subunit ribosomal RNA", at positions 338 to 628 of the family's 1533-position model. The record is from RNAcentral.